This 1275-nucleotide ribosomal RNA is filed under the name Blochmannia endosymbiont of Polyrhachis foreli. RNAcentral describes it as "bacterial SSU rRNA". It matches the Rfam family "Bacterial small subunit ribosomal RNA", at positions 94 to 1354 of the family's 1533-position model. The record is from RNAcentral. Lineage: Bacteria; Pseudomonadati; Pseudomonadota; Gammaproteobacteria; Enterobacterales; Enterobacteriaceae.
AGCGGCGGACGGGUGAGUAAUAUCUGGGNNNNNNNNCGANNGAGGGGGAUAACUAUUGGAAACAAUAGCUAAUACCGCAUGAUAUCGUACUUCGAUCAAAAUGGGGGACCCUUUAAAUCAGGGCCUCAUGCCAUCGGAUGAGCCCAGACGGGAUUAGUUAGUAGGUGGGGUAAUGGCUUACCUAGACGACGAUCUCUAGCUGGUUUGAGAGGAUGAUCAGCCACACUGGAAUUGAGAUACGGUCCAGACUCCUACGGGAGGCAGCAGUGGGGAAUAUUGCACAAUGAGGGAAACCUUGAUGCAGCUAUGCCGCGUGUGUGAAGAAGGCCUUAGGGUUGUAAAGCACUUUUAAUAAGGAGGAAAACAAUAAUAAUAAUACUGUUAUUGCUUGACAUUACUUAUAGAAAAAGCACCGGCUAACUCCGUGCCAGCAGCCGCGGUAAUACGGAGGGUGCGAGCGUUAAUCGGAAUUACUGGGCGUAAAGAGUACGUAGGCGGUUUUUUAAGUCAGAUGUGAAAGCCCUAAGCUUAACUUAGGAAUUGCAUUUGAAACUAGGAAACUAGAGUCUUAUAGAGGGAGGUAGAAUUCCAGGUGUAGCGGUGAAAUGCGUAGAGAUCUGGAGGAAUACCAGUGGCGAAGGCGGCCUCCUGGGUAAAGACUGACGCUGAGGUACGAAAGCGUGGGGAGCAAACAGGAUUAGAUACCCUGGUAGUCCAUGCUGUAAACGAUGUCGAUUUGAAGGUUGUGAUCUUUGAAUUGUAACUUUCGGAGCUAACGCGUUAAAUUGACCGCCUGGGGAGUACGGCCGCAAGGUUAAAACUCAAAUGAAUUGACGGGGGCCCGCACAAGCGGUGGAGCAUGUGGUUUAAUUCGAUGCAACGCGAAGAACCUUACCUACCCUUGACAUCCAAAGAACUGCAUAGAGAUAUGCAGGUGCCUUCGGGAGCUUUGAGACAGGUGCUGCAUGGCUGUCGUCAGCUCGUGUUGUGAAAUGUUGGGUUAAGUCCCGCAACGAGCGCAACCCUUGUCCUUUGUUGCCAUCGAGUUAUGUCGGGAACUCAAAGGAGACUGCCGGUGAUAAGCCGGAGGAAGGUGGGGAUGACGUCAAGUCAUCAUGGCCCUUACGGGUAGGGCUACAAACGUGCUACAAUGGCGUAUACAAAGAGAAGCGAUCUUGCAAAAGUUAGCAAACCUCGUAAAAUUCGUCGUAGUCCGGAUUGGAGUCUGCAACUCGACUCCAUGAAGUCGGAAUCGCUAGUAAUCGUGAAUCAGAA